UCAGGAUGAACGCUAGCGUACAGGCUUAACACAUGCAAGUCGAGGGGCAGCAUUGGGAUAGCUGCUAUUCAGAUGGCGACCGGCGCACGGGUGAGUAACGCGUAUCCAACCUUCCUGCCAGUAGGGAACAGCCCGGCGAAAGUCGGAUUAAUGCCCUAUGUUCUUCAAUGCGGACAUCUAAGUUGAAGGAAAGAUUCAUCGCUGGCAGAUGGGGAUGCGUCCGAUUAGCUUGCCGGCGGGGUAACGGCCCACCGGGGCGACGAUCGGUAGGGGUUCUGAGAGGAAGGUCCCCCACACUGGUACUGAGACACGGACCAGACUCCUACGGGAGGCAGCAGUGAGGAAUAUUGGUCAAUGGGCGUAAGCCUGAACCAGCCAAGUAGCAUGCAAGGGAUGACGGCCCUACGGGUUGUAAACUGCUUUUAUGCGGGGAUAAAGUGCGGCACGUGUGCCGCUUUGCAGGUACCGCAUGAAUAAGGACCGGCUAAUUCCGUGCCAGCAGCCGC
Molecule: ribosomal RNA, 506 nt
Filed under: uncultured bacterium
Lineage: Bacteria
Description: bacterial SSU rRNA
Rfam family: Bacterial small subunit ribosomal RNA
Source: RNAcentral